AGCGGCGGAUGGGUGAGUAACACGUGGGGAACCUGCCCCUAAGUCUGGGAUACCAUUUGGAAACAGGUGCUAAUACCGGAUAAUAAAGCAGAUCGCAUGAUCAGCUUUUGAAAGGCGGCGUAAGCUGUCGCUAAGGGAUGGCCCCGCGGUGCAUUAGCUAGUUGGUAAGGUAACGGCUUACCAAGGCGACGAUGCAUAGCCGAGUUGAGAGACUGAUCGGCCACGUUGGGACUGAGACACGGCCCAAACUCCUACGGGAGGCAGCAGUAGGGAAUCUUCCACAAUGGACGCAAGUCUGAUGGAGCAACGCCGCGUGAGUGAAGAAGGUUUUCGGAUCGUAAAGCUCUGUUGUUGGUGAAGAAGGAUAGAGGUAGUAACUGGCCUUUAUUUGACGGUAAUCAACCAGAAAGUCACGGCUAACUACGUGCCAGCAGCCGCGGUAAUACGUAGGUGGCAAGCGUUGUCCGGAUUUAUUGGGCGUAAAGCGAGCGCAGGCGGAAAAAUAAGACUAAUGUGAGAGCCCUCGGCUUAACCGAGGAACUGCAUCGGAAACUGUUUUUCUUGAGUGCAGAAGAGGAGAGUGGAACUCCAUGUGUAGCGGUGGAAUGCGUAGAUAUAUGGAAGAACACCAGUGGCGAAGGCGGCUCUCUGGUCUGCAACUGACGCUGAGGCUCGAAAGCAUGGGUAGCGAACAGGAUUAGAUACCCUGGUAGUCCAUGCCGUAAACGAUGAGUGCUAAGUGU
Molecule: ribosomal RNA, 743 nt
Filed under: uncultured bacterium
Lineage: Bacteria
Description: bacterial SSU rRNA
Rfam family: Bacterial small subunit ribosomal RNA
Source: RNAcentral